AUUGAACGCUGGCGGCAUGGCUAAAGCAUGCAAGUCGAACGGACCCGCAAGGGUCAGUGGCGAAAGGGUUAGUAACACGAUCGAACGUACCCUGAGGUGUGGGAUAGCCGCGGGAAACUGCGGGUAAUACCACAUGUGCUCUACGGAGGAAGGCCCCAACUUCGGUUGGAUGCGCCUCGGGAGCGGCGAUCGUCCUAUCAGGUAGUUGGCGGGGUAACGGCCCACCAAGCCGAAGACGGGUAGCGGGUGUGAGAGCACGGCCCGCAACAUCGGGACUGAGACACUGCCCGGACUCCUACGGGAGGCUGCAGCGACGAAUCUUCCGCAAUGGGCGAAAGCCUGACGGAGCAAUGCCGCGUGCGGGAUGAAGCGGCUACGCCGUGUAAACCGCUGUCAGGGGGCAGAAACACUGAUCGCCCCCAGAGGAAGAGACGGCUAACUCUGUGCCAGCAGCCGCGGUAAGACAGAGGUCUCGAGCGUUAAUCGGAUUUAUUGGGCUUAAAGCGUGCGUAGGCGGGCCGCUAAGCGUUUUGUGAAAGCCCCCGGCUCAACCGGGGAAUUGCGGGACGGACUGGCGGCCUUGAGGCAGGUAUGGGCGGACAGAACUGUCGGUGGAGCGGUGAAAUGCGUAGAGAUCGAC
RNAcentral lists this ribosomal RNA (640 nucleotides) under uncultured bacterium. Its description in RNAcentral is "bacterial SSU rRNA". It matches the Rfam family "Bacterial small subunit ribosomal RNA", at positions 28 to 701 of the family's 1533-position model. The record is from RNAcentral.